This 459-nucleotide ribosomal RNA is filed under the name uncultured Methanosaeta sp. RNAcentral describes it as "bacterial SSU rRNA". It matches the Rfam family "Archaeal small subunit ribosomal RNA", at positions 880 to 1338 of the family's 1478-position model. The record is from RNAcentral. Lineage: Archaea; Methanobacteriati; Methanobacteriota; Methanomicrobia; Methanotrichales; Methanotrichaceae.
UACGAACGGGUGGAGCCUGCGGUUUAAUUGGAUUCACGCCGGAGAUCUCGACCGGGGCGACAGCAAUAUGAAGGUCAGGCUGAAGACCUUACCCGAUUAGCUGAGAGGUGGUGCAUGGCCGUCGUCAGUUCGUACUGUGAAGCAUCCUGUUAAGUCAGGCAACGAGCGAGACCCACGUCCACAGUUGCCAGCAUACCCUCCGGGGUGAUGGGUACACUGUGGAGACCGCCGCUGCUAAAGCGGAGGAAGGAGUGGGCAACGGUAGGUCAGUAUGCCCCGAAUCUCCCGGGCUACACGCGGGCUACAAUGGUUGGUACAAUGGGCAUCUACCCCGAAAGGGGAAGGAAAUCUCUUAAAGCCAAUCGUAGUUCGGAUUGAGGGCUGCAACUCGCCCUCAUGAAGCUGGAAUCCGUAGUAAUCGCGUUUCAACAGAACGCGGUGAAUACGUCCCUGCUCCUU